GGAGGGUGCAAGCGUUACCCGGAAUCAUUGGGCGUAAAGCGUCCGCAGGCGGUUUUUAAGUCAAAUAUUAAAUCUCGGAGCCCAACUUCGAGGCCGUAUUCGAAACUGAAAAACUAGAGUUUUACAGAGGCAAGUAGAAUUCUGUGUGUAGGGGUAAAAUCCGUAGAUACACAGAGGAAUACCAAAAGCGAAGGCAGCUUGCUGGGUAAACACUGACGCUCAUGGACGAAAGCGUGGGUAGCGAACGGGAUUAGAUACCCCGGUAGUCCACGCCGUAAACGAUGGAUACUAGUUGUUGGAGGACUCGAACCCUUCAGUGACGACGCUAACGCAUUAAGUAUCCCGCCUGGGGAGUACGGUCGCAAGAUUA
RNAcentral lists this ribosomal RNA (370 nucleotides) under uncultured organism. Its description in RNAcentral is "partial 16S ribosomal RNA". It matches the Rfam family "Bacterial small subunit ribosomal RNA", at positions 527 to 896 of the family's 1533-position model. The record is from RNAcentral.